UACUGGGCGUAAAGAGCUCGUAGGUGGUUUGUCGCGUUGUUCGUGAAAUCUCACGGCUUAACUGUGAGCGUGCGGGCGAUACGGGCAGACUUGAGUACUGCAGGGGAGACUGGAAUUCCUGGUGUAGCGGUGGAAUGCGCAGAUAUCAGGAGGAACACCGGUGGCGAAGGCGGGUCUCUGGGCAGUAACUGACGCUGAGGAGCGAAAGCGUGGGGAGCGAACAGGAUUAGAUACCCUGGUAGUCCACGCCGUAAACGGUGGGUACUAGGUGUGGGUUUCCUUCCUUGGGAUCCGUGCCGUAGCUAACGCAUUAAGUACCCCGCCUGGGGAGUACGGCCGCAAGGCUAAAACUCAAAGAAAUUGACGGGGGCCCGCACAAGCGGCGGAGCAUGUGGAUUAAUUCGAUGCAACGCGAAGAACCUUACCUGGGUUUGACAUGCACAGGACGCCGGCAGAGAUGUCGGUUCCCUUGUGGCCUGUGUGCAGGUGGUGCAUGGCUGUCGUCAGCUCGUGUCGUGAGAUGUUGGGUUAGGUCCCGCAACGAGCGCAACCCUUGUCUCAUGUUGCCAGCGGGUAAUGCCGGGGACUCGUGAGAGACUGCCGGGGUCAACUCGGAGGAAGGUGGGGAUGACGUCAAGUCAUCAUGCCCCUUAUGUCCAGGGCUUCACACAUGCUACAAUGGCCGGUACAAAGGGCUGCGAUGCCGCGAGGUUAAGCGAAUCCUUUUAAAGCCGGUCUCAGUUCGGAUCGGGGUCUGCAACUCGACCCCGUGAAGUCGGAGUCGCUAG
Molecule: ribosomal RNA, 788 nt
Filed under: uncultured Mycobacterium sp.
Lineage: Bacteria; Bacillati; Actinomycetota; Actinomycetes; Mycobacteriales; Mycobacteriaceae
Description: bacterial SSU rRNA
Rfam family: Bacterial small subunit ribosomal RNA
Source: RNAcentral